Molecule: long non-coding RNA, 3460 nt
Filed under: Citrus x clementina
Lineage: Eukaryota; Viridiplantae; Streptophyta; Magnoliopsida; Sapindales; Rutaceae
Description: Citrus clementina (C. clementina) long non-coding RNA (CCLE_LNC004429)
Source: RNAcentral
AUUAAAUGAGCUAAAAAUUUUGUUUUUUUACAUAGAGGGCCAUUUUUGUCAUUCAAUAAAAAAUUAGACGGAGCUGUUAGAAAUAACUAAAAAAUUAACGGAAUUGGGGGCGUGAUGCAAAAUGUUAAUUUUUUUGAGUGCGUGGUGCAACAAGUCAAAUUUGUUGGGGACGCGGUGCAAAAUGUUAAUUUAUUUGGGGGUAAGUUACAAAUUUCCCUAUUUUUUUGGGAUUAACUUUACUCAACUUUUGUUUCCAGUCUCAAAUUUUGCCGCCCCAACAUGUCAUGUGUUCCGAUAUAUGUGGAUCUGCAAAGCACUCUAUUCAAUUUUGAUUUGUCUUCCCCUCCCUUAUUUGUACUGAGAUGGUCGUUCAUUUGACUCAAACUAAUAACAAAUAUAUAUAUAUAAAUUAGAUUAGGAGUUGAAAAAAAAUAUAUUAAUAAAUAGGGUACAAAAUAAUUAAUCUAGCUUUCGAGAAAAUUUUAGGUACCCUCAUAGUACACAUCUUUCUGUUAGAUUCUUGUUUUACAUAUCUUUAACUAAUUAAAUAAGGCACUUGGCAAGAAUUCAAUUAUACGAAGUGCCUAAAUAAUGUUGAGCUAUCGGUAUACAAUGAUCAUUAAUGGAUGUCAUUUAAGUUAUACACAAAUCUUGUAUUUGCAUUUAGGUAGUAAUAGAUUGUAAGUUGAAGCGGUUUCAUGUUGUGUUAUUAUCAUGCCAGGCUAAAUUUUGUUUCUUCAAAACCAACCAUUAAUUUAUUGAAUUAAAAAAAUCUAAACAAAAUCUGACCAUUAAUUUUAUCUUAUUACCGAAAACUAACCCUGUUGAAUCCACUAUUUUUCUUAAAUAAAAUUAUUUCCAUCAAAUAAUUGUUAAAUUGCCAUCCUCUCAAUCACUGAGGUAGCUUAAUUAACAAGAGUGUAUUAAUAGACUGCUGCACCAUCAAUAUUUUUUCCUUUUUAAAUUUGCCGGCUGUCCUUUUCUCCGAACUAGUUUUAUAUAUACCAAUAUAUACUUCAAUCUAAUUGAACAGUAUAUUUUAUGUCACGACAUGCCCAAAGACAAAUCAUAAUUUAAGUUGCUCCAUUAUUGACAUUAUUAAUUGAUUUAUUACAUAUAGUUGAAUCGUUGACUAUGCACAGGGAAGCCACAGAAAGAUUUCAUUUCGUUUGUAUUCAUAAACUAAUUGAAGUACUAGAUGAAAGAGCACACUUUCUUUCUAAUUAAUAUAUGAUCUAAGUAUCAUCAUUUCUCAAAUUUAAUUAAAAAUUAUGUUUUGCAAGGUAGUUUAGUCCAUAUAAUUUGAGCUGAGUGUUCAUUUAAUCAUUAUAUUAUAAAAAUAAUUCAAGACAUCCUGCAUUAAAUGUGUUACACUUAUGUUUGCUAUAAUAUUUUUGAGAUAUUAAUAAAAUAAUAAUAAUGAUCAAAUUAACGUAAAAAAUAACAUAGAAUUUACACAAAUUUUUGUAUUAUUAUUUUACUUUUAGGAUUAACUUGGUAAAUUAUUUUUUUAUAAAAUAAUUAUUAGUAAGAUUGUUGUACAGGUAUAAAAAUAUUAGUUCUUUCACACUGAUAUUUAUUGGUUAAUGCACUAAUAAAUAAUUAUUAAUUUAUUUACAAUUACUUUUAUGGAUAAAUUAAUUAAUGUCAAAAAUAUUGUCAAAAGGAAAUUAUUGUAAAAGUAAAAAAAAAAAAAGGUAAGAAUAUAACAUUUUUAACUGCAGGAGGUGUUUUAAGUCAUUUCUAAAAUAUAAUGACUAAACAAAUAAUUAAGUUAAAAUAUAAAGACUAAACAGAUAUUUACUCAUAUUUUGUUUAUAAAAUUAAAAUUCUAAAUUAUACAACUUGUCACUAUCAAAAUUUGUUGUCAUUUACUCGAUGGAUAUAUUAAAAUAUCACAUAAUUCAAGAUACCUUUAGUAUUAUUCAUGUCAUCAUGUCAUCAAAAUUGAAGCAUGAAAUGUUGAGCUCAAAAUCGAUCAUAUACCAAAGUGUGUGACAUCAUAUGUUUAUUUGACCACACAACUAAAAUGGUAUGUGUCUAUCUCCGGAAUCAAUUGGAAUAUACCAAAUCAAAAGCCAUUAAAUUGUGACUUUUAAGCUUCAAGAUGAUGGAUCAAAGAACCCAAAAACGAUUUCCGCAUACCAAACCAUAAGGGGUGUGGAAAGCUGAACACUCGCGAUUGGUCAAAAAAUAAUGUCCCUGCACAACAUGGGAUCAUAUUAAACAUUCAUGGUGUUUCAAAAUUUCAACCUUUAAUUUUGACCUUCAAUAAUGUAAUAAUUUCAACUUUCAAAAACAAUAACUCCACUUUUUGGAAAAAAUAAAUAAAGUUUCAUGAGGUCUUAUAUGAUGAAAUUUUCUCCAUUAUUUUGGAGUAAUUAUUUAACUUGUUAGUUAGCUUGAGAAUUUGAGUAUUUCAUAUGUUUGGGAACAUAUUAGCGAACUUCAACUUGGACAAAUUUAGACAGAUUCCAUAAGCAUUAAUGUAAAUACAAGGUCCCUAUAUGACUUCUUUUUCUUUUUUAUGCAUUUACUAGUCAAUCCAUACUAUAUCGUGUAAGGUUCAAAGUAAAGUGUUCAAAUGUUCUAGAUUUUUGUGCUACUUAUUUUAUUUAAAAUUUUGUUGUAGGAGUAAAUUGAAUAUUUAAAUAAUAGACCUUGAAAUUUUGAAAUUAAUAAUAGCUAAAUUUAAGACCACUUAUUAUUAAUCAAUUUAUAACCAUAUAAGUCAACUGUGGAUAUUCUUCAUUACCAUUUAAAUAGAAGAAUAUUCUUUAUAACACUAAAUAUACAUUAAUGCAUCUAGACGUGGAUCCAUCGAAUUGUGCAAGAAUCAUGCUAUCAUGAAACCUUUCUAAAUCAUUUGAACAUUUUUCUAACCCCUACUUCAAGUUGUUUUGACAAAAGAGAAGUUCAAGAUUUCCAGGUAAAUUCAUAAAAUAUGUACAAUUUUAUGUAGCAUAUUCCAAGGACAUUUAAACCUGGUGCCCCAUUUCUGCCCAACAAGCUACAUGAUCCCAAUGUCCCUACUUGGCCUAAUCAGAUGCAUAUUUUCUAUAAUAAAUAAGUCAAAUGUUAAAAUUUUUAACAAAACAAUCCCAUAUUUUUCCAUCUUCCAUCGUUCUCCAUCCCCUUCUUGUGACACGUUAAGUUAAAUAUAACAUCACAUGACUCCAAUUUGAUUGAAUAGAUAGAUGUAUUAGAAAGGAAGAAUAAAAAAUGUCCCUCAAUAUACGGGUAAUAAAUGGAAAAAUUCUAAUCCUUGACUUUAAUAAUUAGAUAACGAAAAGUGGUCAUAAAUCUAUCAAUAAGUCCAAAAAUCUUUUUUAACAUGCCUAAAAACAUAUAAUUUUAUAUUUUAAUAAUGAUUACAAACAAGAACCCAUAAUGAAAUUUUAAGGAAAUGUGACAUUACCCAAAAUAGAAAAUAAUAUUCUCACAAUUAAAUGUAAAGACU